RNAcentral lists this ribosomal RNA (157 nucleotides) under Penicillium sp. RMF 6016. RNAcentral describes it as "5.8S ribosomal RNA". It matches the Rfam family "5.8S ribosomal RNA". Rfam says of the family: 5.8S ribosomal RNA (5.8S rRNA) is a component of the large subunit of the eukaryotic ribosome. It is transcribed by RNA polymerase I as part of the 45S precursor that also contains 18S and 28S rRNA. Functionally, it is thought that 5.8S rRNA may be involved in ribosome translocation. The record is from RNAcentral. Lineage: Eukaryota; Fungi; Ascomycota; Eurotiomycetes; Eurotiales; Aspergillaceae.
AAACUUUCAACAACGGAUCUCUUGGUUCCGGCAUCGAUGAAGAACGCAGCGAAAUGCGAUAAGUAAUGUGAAUUGCANAAUUCAGUGAAUCAUCGAGUCUUUGAACGCACAUUGCGCCCCCUGGUAUUCCGGGGGGCAUGCCUGUCCGAGCGUCAUU